Gymnodraco acuticeps is the source of this 417-nucleotide long non-coding RNA. RefSeq lists it as uncharacterized. The transcript is spliced from 2 exons. The record is from RefSeq and is a predicted model, not a curated record. NCBI's taxonomy places the organism in Eukaryota, Metazoa, Chordata, Actinopteri, Perciformes, Bathydraconidae.
CAAUGAGGGCACGAGAUCAGUUUGUGCCCAGAUGGAAGGCUGACAGGCAGUCAGCUGUGAUUUCAGGUGUUCAUGCUGCCGCCCGCCUCCUCCCCAUCCACCUUCUUUCAUCACAUCCAGUGCCAGGAGAGCUAAUCCAAAGACCUCAUCACACCUCCUCUUCAUCCCAUCUCCUCAUCAAAUCCAGAUCUUCAGCAUCAUCACCAGUGUAGACCCGGGGGGGUUCCCUAUAUGCUCACGGCUGCAUUUCCCCCUUUAGAUAUACCAUUUCAGGAUCGGGUCUAAUUGCCAAAGACUUAACAUUUAUCAUAUGGCAGGUGUCAAUAAAUGUUCAAACUAAAUGAAGUCUCUCCUGAUUGAAAUAUCAUGUGUUGAAAUAAACAACUGCAGUUCAAAAUAAAAAGGUGAAUUGCCUAA